This 253-nucleotide ribosomal RNA is filed under the name uncultured bacterium. RNAcentral's name for it is "partial 16S ribosomal RNA". It matches the Rfam family "Bacterial small subunit ribosomal RNA", at positions 524 to 776 of the family's 1533-position model. The record is from RNAcentral.
UACGGAGGGUGCAAGCGUUAUCCGGAUUCACUGGGUUUAAAGGGUGCGUAGGAGGGCAGGUAAGUCAGUGGUGAAAUCUCCGAGCUUAACUUGGAACUGCCGUUGAUACUAUCUGUCUUGAAUAUUGUGGAGGUGAGCGGAAUAUGUCAUGUAGCGGUGAAAAUGCUUAGAUAUGACAUAGAACACCAAUUGCGAAGGCAGCUCGCUACACAUAUAUUGACUCUGAGGCACGAAAGCGUGGGGAUCAAACAGG